RNA transcript from Arachis duranensis, 1324 nucleotides. It is a transcript of the gene named putative protein FAR1-RELATED SEQUENCE 10, with no coding region annotated. NCBI's taxonomy places the organism in Eukaryota, Viridiplantae, Streptophyta, Magnoliopsida, Fabales, Fabaceae. The transcript is spliced from 3 exons. The record is from RefSeq and is a predicted model, not a curated record.
AAGACAAAAGAAAUGUAAAGGAAAAGUGAAUUGGAGAAAGAAAUUCAAUUGGGGUUUUUUUCAUAAGGGUUUUCUCGCUGUGAGUGUCGCAGCCCUUGGAGUAGGGUUAUAUGAGAAGAGGUAACUAACAACUGAAAUCCAAUGGUGGAAGUGCGAACUAUUUCCAGUGUAGUAGAGUUGCCCUUUUCUUUAAUGACUGUUAUGUCUACUAAGUUUGGUGGGCGUGGUAUAGGCGGCAACGUGCUGGGCUGGUUAACGCGUUAGAUUUACAGGGAUUUUGUAUGCCAUCGGUGUAAAAUCGGCGAUGUUGAAGAUGGAAUACACUAGUCAUGGCGAGAAAUUCUGCAUAGAGGAUGAAAGUGAUUGUGUUGGCGACGUAGUCAGUUUAGAUGCGGAAGAAUUUGAUGUUGAGAAAUUGGAUCCAAGUGGCCAAGAUGACCUGUCGGAUUAUGAAAAUGUAUUUGGUCUUACUGCAGCUGAAAUAGAGAACAAAGUUUUCAGAACGGAGGAACGUGCUUAUGAAUUCUAUAUGAGGUUUGGGAAGUGGCAUGGGUUUGGUGUACGCAAGGGAGACUAUGGGAAGGAUGACGACAGAAAUCUAAUUAGGAGGAGAUUCUUUUGCAAUAGAGCUGGGUUAAGGGAUGAAAAGCACUACAACAGAUUGAAUAGAAAAAAAUGUCAUAAGCCUGAGAAAGAAAGUUCAAAUUGGAAGAUUCAGAAAGUCGUCCUCGAGCGCAACCAUGAGUUAGUAGUUAAGUGUAUGGUACACUUGAUUUCUAAGUUCCGUCGGGUUUUAGGUGCGGCAAAGGAUCAGCUAGAUGGUAUGCAAAGUUAUGGGCUACCUACGUCAAAGAUAUUUGGGUACAUGGUAGGGAUUACUGGAGGGUAUUCACUAUUGGGUUUCACAAAGAAGGAUGCUUAUAACUACCUUGACCCAGACAAAGCGCACAAGAAUUGCAGAUGGGGAUGCAAAUUCUGUCAUUGUUUAUUUUGAGGGAAAGGCUUCUGUGGACUGAUGAGCGGAUAAUUUAUACGCUUUUUGACAUUGUUUUUAGUAUUUUCUGGCUGAAAUUGAGGGACUUGAGCAAAAAUCUGAUUCAGAGACUAAAAAGGACUGCAGAUGCUGUUGGUUUCUAACCUCCCUGCACUCGAAGUGGAUUUUCUGGAGCUACAGAAGCCCAAUUGGCGCGCUCUCAACGGCGUUGGAAAGUAGAUAUCCUGGGCUUUCCAGCAAUAUAUAAUAGUCCAUACUUUACCCGAGAUUUGAUGGCCCAAACCGGCGUUUCAAAUCAGCUCAAAACUGCCCGGCGUUAAACACCGGAAC